CUUCAACAGCUCACAUACAGAGCUUCUGCCUCAAAGGACCACUCAUUGAAGCAGAAAUAAAAAAGGAAUAUAAAGACAGGGGAGUGAUCAGAAGACGAAUAGUGGGUCAGACUUUGUUUCAGGUUUGAUUGUAUAUUUACGUAUUUGUCUAAAUUGACAGGAUUGACUAUCAGAAACAGGGAAUAUAGGCCUAUAUGACAACUUAGCGAAGUAUUUUUAUUAUGUAAUUCUAUUGACACUAAAGGACUAGGGUGGGGAUUCAGUACAAGACUCGAGUGUAAAUUGCCUUUAAAUUACCUUUACUGUAAAUGAUCAACUCAACUACCUUGCUAUGCAAUUGGGAAAAUGCAAUGUUAAUAAAAUGUUAGUGUUAUUACAGCGGCAUAAGUGUUAACAGUAAUAUUAACAAAACUAAAUAUAAGACUAAGUAUCUACGGGAAUAUCUAAACACGGCCUUGUUGAAUCGACUACAGCCAAGGUACCAGUAGGUGGAAAAUAAUGUUAAUUUGUAUUUGAUGAAAAUAUCCCUUUAGUUGGUAUGAUGUGUAUGUUUGAAACUUAUUUGUAUUUGAGCUCAAGCAGUAGAAAAUGUUAAGUGCCGGUACUCAGCUCUGGUGAGCUCCUACACAAGUCAAGCACUGUGAAUUUUGACAGUGGAACUACAUUUUACAUUUUGGAUAUACAGUGCCUCUAGAAAGUCUACAACCCCCUUGGAUUUAUUCAAAUUUGAUUGCGUUACAAAGUGGGAUUAAAAUGGAUUUGAUUGCCAUUUUUUUGUCAAUGAGCCACACUAAAUAUUCUGUAAAGACAAAGUGGAAAAAUUCUAACAUUUUUUGAAGAUUCAUGAAAAUGUUAUAACUAAAAUAUAGUAGUUUCAUAAGAGGGGCUAGAUACAUAAAAUGCUUUUAUUUCUAAAUGGAAAAACAGAUACAGUGCAUUCAGAAAGUAUUCAGACCCCUUGACUUUUCCACAUUUUGUUACAUUACAUCCUUAUUCUAAAUUGAUAAAAAAAAAUUAUUUACUGUGUGUAGAUUGAUGAGGGAAAAAACCCAUUUAAUCCAUUUUAGAAUAAUACCCCAUAAUGACAAAGCAAAAACAGUUGUUUUUUUGUGUGCAAAUGUAUUAAAAAUAAAUAACGGAAAUAUCACAUUUACAUAUGUACUCAGACCGUUUACUCAGUACUUUGUUAAACUACCGCCUCAAGUCUUCUUGAGUAUGACGCUACAAGCUUGGCACACCUGUAUUUGGGGAGUUUCUCCCAUUCAUCUCUACAGAUCCUCUCAAGUUCCGUCGGGUGUUUUCUUGCGAACAUAUCCGAAAAGGAAGAUGGGUCUCUAAUGAAAUAUUCAACAUGGUGGAGGAAUGUUGGUGACCUGCAACACAACACAAGUCCCACAGGGAAACUACUGGGGUAGAUUGCUGAGAACAUCAACAGAUAUGUAUUUUUAGAUAGGCCUAAUCUCAUCUCCGUCUUUAGAGGCAUUAGGAAAAACCUUCAUCUGAAUCAUUUUGUUGCACUAAGAAACAAGGAAAUAGUGAAUGCGUUGAUCGAUAUCUUCAUCAAAUGUGGUAUGCUAUUCUAAGCUCUAGUAUAUUCUCUAUCAACAUUCAAGUAUCAAUGAAGCAUGGAUGGAUUUAUAAAAUGUCAAUAGCCAGUAAUGAAAUGAGAAUCCAUUCUCGGUAACAGGACAGUGCAAAAAAAUAUGACUAUUUACAAUUAUUUAGCAAAUUAAGAAGAAGAUUUAUGAAAUGGAGAUGUAUUGCACAUAUCAUUUGAUUUGAAAUAGAUCCUUUCCUCCUCUGAGUCUUGUGCUUUCAUACAGUAGGUCUGUCUGAGACAUCAUGGAGGGUAACAACAGAAAACAGAGAGAAAGAUUAGAAGAAAGAUCCCCAGAGACGUCUCCUAUGACGGUUCCGGUAACCCAGCCACGCUCCUCAAUGUUCUCCUGCUGUUUGGGGAUGGCAUCUGAUGAACCUGUAGGCGACCCAGCUAGUAAUGUAACACAAGGCUCUAUUAUGAAGCAGCCCACCAGACAGUCUUAUGUCAACAACCCAGACACCAGCGGACGCAUAAUACGAUUGGAGAAUACUGAGCUGCAAAUGUUUCCCACUGGUGCCAUGAGGUCGAACAACACCCCACAACCAGGGCAACCAGAGCCUUCUAAUAAGAUGAAGAAUAAAAGAGGGGACCAAGAUGGAAGGAAGGAGCUCAACCAGGGGUCCAGUCAGAAGCAGAACCAGGAUCAAAAGAUCAAGUUUCUGAUCAAUGUGCCCAUGAGGGUCCCACUACUUAACAACAACCGACUGGACCAAAUCCAGUCACAGGUUCAAAGGUUACUGAAGUUGUUGGAGGAUACAGGAUUUAAGGAGGAAGAUGAGGAGCACCUGAAAGAUGUGGCCAUCAUCAUUGGCCUCAAUGGCAAAGAUUCUCCUGAGCUCAGGGGACAGCUGACAAUGCUGAUGAACAUGGAGGAGAAUACGGUAUUGAAGUUUAAAAAGAUUUCAUUUACCUGGGGACCCAAUGGUAACAUUAAAUAUGUAGACAGUAUAAAUAAAAUAAAAGGUAUACCAUAUACGGAUAUCAGAGAAUAUCUAAAAGAUCAUGAAGAAACUAAACAGCUUGUUAGAGAGUUGAGAGGAGAGGAUCCUGACGCUCUGAUCUAUUUCAGUUUUAUUGACGCUGAUACUGUAAACUUUAACCAAGUUUACAGCUCUUAUUUAGAGAUAGUCAGAAAGCACUCUAACACUCACUCUGGCAUCCCCCCAACGGUGAUGUCAACAGGCUAUGAGUUUCCGGACAGGGCUUUUAAGAGGCCAAGCCAGGUUGACAGAGCAAUUCGAGUUGAGACAGCAAAACACUUUCCUCUAGGCACAUACUAUCCAGAGCCCAACUUCUGUGUUUUACUCCUAAAGGGGGAGGACACACUAACAGAGAGCUUUCUUGGAAAAGACAAAACAAUGGAGUCGCCAAAAAUUAUCAAAAAAGUUAAGGAGCGUGAACAAUUCACAGCAGUCUUUACCGCUGACAAUCCCAUAAUUACCUCUGUUCCAGCAAGGUGUCAAAUAAAUAAGGAUGGCCUGACAACUGCUCAAUCACAUUUUAAUCCUAGAGUUUGGGCAACAAGUGCAUACAUCCAUGGUGAGAUAAAGAGUGAACUAAAGGGCCAAGGAAGUUUUGGUAAAACAAGACGAUUAUUGAUGGAACUGUUGACUUGUCCAGAUGAGAAAUUUGAGGACAAGUGUAAAGAACUUCCUGUGGUAAAUGAUGAUGCAUUUCUGAGCCUGUGUAAGGCAGCUGGUGAGGUCCGAGAAUACAGAAAGAAAGUGAGGGGGUAUGCGAACCAACAGGAUAAGAGGAGUCCGGCAGAGAGCAGAGCAAAACAACCAGAGAUGUAACGCAUACCAAUUCAUGGCACUUCUAAAGCCUAGACUUAUGUUGACAUAAAAAUCUGUAGCCUUACUUUUGUUACGACUUUUAUUUUGCCGUAAUGUAUUGAGACACUGUUUGUAGCCUGGGGACUUUUAUUUUGAAAGCGAUAAUAUUCCCAGAGGCACCUUUGAGAGAGUGUGGAGAAAAAGACACAGAGUGGAUGUUGAUGACUGCGUGGCUGUAUGUCUUGGUCCAGAGUAAUUCAACUACACGUAACAGUUUUCCUUUGUAGCCCGUGUGUUAUUUUUACUGCCAAUCCACAAGUCCUCUGUUGGAGGUAGUGUUUAAUACCUAAAAGUAGAAAUAAGAGUUAUUCCACAAGUCCUCUGUUGGAGGUAGUGUUUAAUACCUACAAGUAGAAAUAAGAGUUAUACAAAUCUAUCCAAUCCACAAGUCCUCUGUUGGAGGUAGUGUUUAAUACCUACAAGCAGAAAUAAGGGUUAUACAAAUCUAUCCAAUCCACAAGUCCUCUGUUGGAGGUCGUGUUUAAUACCUACAAGUAGAAAUAAGAGUUAUUCCACAAGACCUCUGUUGGAGGUCGUGUUUAAUACCUACAAGUAGAAGUAAGAGUUAUUCCACAAGUCCUCUGUUGGAGGUAGUGUUUAAUACCUACAAGUAGAAAUAAGAGUUAUACAAAUCUAUCCAAUCCACAAGUCCUCUGUUGGAGGUAGUGUUUAAUACCUACAAGUAGAAAUAAGAGUUAUUCCACAAGUCCUCUGUUGGAGGUAGUGUUUAAUACCUACAAGUAGAAAUAAGAGUUAUACAAAUCUAUCCAAUCCACAAGUCCUCUGUUGGAGGUAAUGUUUAAUACCUACAAGUAGAAAUAAGAGUUAUACAAAUCUAUCCAAUCCAGAAUAAGAAUGUCAUUUCCAAACAAGACAUAAACUCAAAUGUUGCUAAAUGACCUGGAUGAAUCUCUAGUCGUACACAACUAUGGGUGUAACCAUUUGUGCCAGAAUACUCACCAGACAUCAGCUUUAAUGGUGUAGAGGUGAGGAGUGAAAUACAGUAUAAAACAAUUAGGAAUUGACGGGUAUAAUAAGUUAUUCAUGAAACAAAGGUUAAAUCACUUACAGUUACAAUAAGUGCCAUGGAAGUUUAAUGACCACAGUCAGGACAUCUGUUUAAUGUCCCAUCUGAAAGGCUGCACCUAAUGCAGGGCAAUGUCCCUGUCACUGCCCCUGGGCAUUGGGAACUCCUUAGACCAGAGGGAAGAGUGCCCCCUACUGGCCCUCCAACACCACUUCCAGCCUACUGUAUACAUAUUAGUUGUGUCCUAUAUAAUUGCUCCAUUCAACACAUAGCACUAAAGAGCGAUUGAAACACACUACAGUGUGAUUGAAAUGUACAUUUCCAAUUGAGUGGAUAUAUGCAGCCUUUACCGUGAACACAGUCUCCACAAACAUGGGAACAUGGCUGUUUUCCAUUUGAACAUGCAUGUAGGGUAGAUAGGGUUUGAUGGAGGAGUAGAGACACUUGUCUGACUGUGACUGCAUGACUGCUCUUCAGGCUGUGAUGAGAUUCAUAUGUACUUUAUCACUGAAUACUUUGUUGUGAACCUUUUCGUUUUAAUCAUAAGUAAUAUUAAUAAAGAGUUGUUGAUAUAAUACAGUGAUAUAUAGCAUGAAUGGAAAACACCUUUUAGUUUGAACUAAUCAUAAUGCCAGGCCAGAACUAACCAUUUUAUAAAACUAUAGAAAGAUAUCCUAUGUAAUGGUAACACUUGUGGUUAAGUACUGUAACAAUAUGUACCUACACUGUCAUUUUAUAACCAUCACAUGUAUGUUCUAACUAUCAUUAUAACCAUCACAUGUAUGUUCUAUCAUUAUUGUCACGCCCUGGUCUUAGUAUUUUGUGUUUUUCUUAUUUAUUUGGUCAGGCCAGGGUGUGACAUGGGUUUAUUUUGUGUUGUGUUUAUGUAUAGGGUUUUUUUCGUAGGUAUUGGGAUUGUGGCUGAGUAGGGGUGUCUAGCAUAGUCUAUGGCUGCCUGAGGCGGUUCUCAAUCAGAGUCAGGUGAUUCUCGUUGUCUCUGAUUGGGAACCAUAUUUAGGUAGCCUGGGUUUCACUGUGUGUUUUGUGGGUGAUUGUUCCUGUCUCAGUGUGUUGGUAUUCACCAGACAGGCUGUAUAGGUUUUCACAUUUCCGUUUGUUGUUUUUGUAUUGUUCGUUUUCAUCGUUAUUAAAGAUGUCUCGAUUUAACCACGCUGCAUUUUGGUCCGACUCUCCUUCGACGGAAGCCGUAACAAUUAUAACCAUCACAUGUAUGUUCUAACUAUCAUUAUAACCAUCACAUGUAGGUUCUAUCAUUAUAACCAUCACAUGUAUGUUCUAUCAUUAUAACCAUCACAUGUAUGUUCUAUCAUUAUAACCAUCACAUGUAUGUUCUAUCAUUAUAACCAUCACAUGUAUGUUCUAUCAUUAUAACCAUCACAUGCAUGUUCUAACUAUCAUUAUAACCAUCACAUGUAUGUUCUAUCAUUAUAACCAUCACAUGUAUGUUCUAACUAUCAUUAUAACCAUCACAUAUUAUGAUCAGUAAUCACAUAAUUAAGUUUUGACAUUUGAUUUGAUGAUUUCACUAUAUGUGUCUAUGUCAGUUUUUGCCUGCCUCAUAAUAAACAGAUGGUAAAUCCAA
Molecule: long non-coding RNA, 6065 nt
Organism: Oncorhynchus tshawytscha (Chinook salmon)
Lineage: Eukaryota; Metazoa; Chordata; Actinopteri; Salmoniformes; Salmonidae
Source: Ensembl